RNAcentral lists this ribosomal RNA (422 nucleotides) under uncultured bacterium. RNAcentral's name for it is "bacterial SSU rRNA". It matches the Rfam family "Bacterial small subunit ribosomal RNA", at positions 506 to 927 of the family's 1533-position model. The record is from RNAcentral.
UGCCAGCAGCCGCGGUAAAACGUAGGAGGCGAGCGUUAUCCGGAUUUACUGGGCGUAAAGCGCACGCAGGUGGCACAGUAAGUUGGAUGUGAAAGCUCCUGGCUUAACUGGGAGAGGCCAUUCGAAACUGCUGAGCUUGAGGUUGGGAGAGGGGUGUGGAAUUCCCGGUGUAGUGGUGGAAUGCGUAGAUAUCGGGAGGAACACCAGUGGCGAAAGCGGCACCCUGGCCCACACCUGACGCUGAGGUGCGAAAGCGUGGGGAGUAAACAGGAUUAGAUACCCUGGUAAUCCACGCCGUAAACGAUGUCAACUGGGUGUCGGUAGUGUUACACUAUCGGUGCCGAAGCAAACGCGUUAAGUUGACCGCCUGGGGACUACGGCCGCAAGGCUAAAACUCAAAGGAAUUGACGGGGGCCCGCACA